UCGGCGGAGGCGCGCGCGGCCGCGGCGCCGCUGCCGUGCCCGCGGUGCCGGAGCCGGGAGACCAAGUUCUGCUACUUCAACAACUACAACGUGAACCAGCCGCACCACUUCUGCAAGGCCUGCCACCGCUACUGGACGGCUGGCGGCGCGCUCCGCAACGUGCCCAUCGGUGCCGACCGCCGCAAGAACCAACCGCUCGGCCCCAUCGCCACCGUCGCCGGCCACCACCACCGCGCCGCCGCCGGCUUCGUCCUCGGCUUCCCCAGCCCCUCCUCCUCCCCCACCUUCCCACCGCCCAUGUACGCCGACCGGUGGCAGCUCGGGCCGGAUGGCCGGUUCUGA
This 342-nucleotide ribosomal RNA is filed under the name Triticum aestivum (bread wheat). RNAcentral describes it as "partial small subunit ribosomal RNA". The record is from RNAcentral. Lineage: Eukaryota; Viridiplantae; Streptophyta; Magnoliopsida; Poales; Poaceae.